This 372-nucleotide ribosomal RNA is filed under the name uncultured organism. RNAcentral describes it as "bacterial SSU rRNA". It matches the Rfam family "Bacterial small subunit ribosomal RNA", at positions 526 to 896 of the family's 1533-position model. The record is from RNAcentral.
CGGGGGGUGCAAGCGUUGUUCGGAUUUAUUGGGCGUAAAGCGCGUGUAGGCGGUUUGUUAAGUCUGAUGUGAAAGCCCUGGGCUCAACCCAGGAAGUGCAUUGGAUACUGGCAAACUUGAAUACGGGAGAGGGUAGUGGAAUUCCUGGUGUAGGAGUGAAAUCCGUAGAUAUCAGGAGGAACACCGGUGGCGAAGGCGGCUGCCUGGACCGAUAUUGACGCUGAGACGCGAAAGCGUGGGUAGCAAACAGGAUUAGAUACCCUGGUAGUCCACGCCGUAAACGAUGAGUACUAGGUGUUGCGGGUAUUGACCCCUGCAGUGCCGCAGCUAACGCAUUAAGUACUCCGCCUGGGAAGUACGGUCGCAAGACUA